GAAUCCCGUCUUUGACACGGACUGCCUGUACAUUAUGGUGUGCUCUCGAAGAGUCGAGUUGUUUGGGAAUGCAGCUCAAAAUGGGUGGUAAAUGCCAUCUAAAGCUAAAUAUUGGCGAGAGACCGAUAGCGAACAAGUACCGUGAGGGAAAGAUGAAAAGAACUUUGGAAAGAGAGUUAAACAGUACGUGAAAUUGCUGAAAGGGAAACGCUUGAAGUCAGUCGCGUUGGCUAGAAAUCAACCUUGCUUUUGCUUUGUGUACUUUCUGGUUGACGGGUCAGCAUCAAUUUUGACCACUGGAUAAAGUCUUUGGGAAUGUGGCAUCUUCGGAUGUGUUAUAGCCCAUUGUCGCAUACGGUGGUUGGGAUUGAGGAACUCAGCACGCCGCAAGGCCGGGUUUCGACCACGUUCGUGCUUAGGAUGCUGGCAUAAUGGCUUUAAUCGACCCGUCUUGAAACACGGACCAAGGAGUCUAACAUGCCUGCGAGUGUUUGGGUGGAAAAACCCAUGCGCGCAAUGAAAGUGAAAGUUGAGAUCCUCUUCAAAGGGGGAGCAUUGACGCCCGGACCAGACCUUUUGUGACGGAUCCGCGGUAGAGCAUGCAUGUUGGGACCCGAAAGAUGGUGAACUAUGCCUGAAUAGGGUGAAGCCAGAGGAAACUCUGGUGGAGGCUCGUAGCGAUUCUGACGUGCAAAUCGAUCGUCAAAUUUGGGUAUAGGGGCGAAAGACUAAUCGAACCAUCUAGUAGCUGGUUCCUGCC
RNAcentral lists this ribosomal RNA (760 nucleotides) under uncultured Inocybe. RNAcentral's name for it is "eukaryotic LSU rRNA". It matches the Rfam family "Eukaryotic large subunit ribosomal RNA", at positions 216 to 962 of the family's 3401-position model. The record is from RNAcentral. Lineage: Eukaryota; Fungi; Basidiomycota; Agaricomycetes; Agaricales; Cortinariaceae.